AUACCAUGAUGAGGACACCUUCUGAGCAAUUCUUUAAAUCUUUCAUAAGCCUCGUGCCAACUCUCAUCUUCAAGUUGAUGGAAGGAAGUAAUCUCAUUACACAACUU
Molecule: small nucleolar RNA, 107 nt
Filed under: Citrus sinensis (sweet orange)
Lineage: Eukaryota; Viridiplantae; Streptophyta; Magnoliopsida; Sapindales; Rutaceae
Description: Plant small nucleolar RNA R71
Rfam family: Plant small nucleolar RNA R71
About the family: R71 is a member of the C/D box family of snoRNAs containing the C (UGAUGA) and D (CUGA) box motifs.
Source: Rfam by way of RNAcentral